Long non-coding RNA from Scophthalmus maximus (turbot), 1477 nucleotides. RefSeq lists it as uncharacterized. Lineage: Eukaryota; Metazoa; Chordata; Actinopteri; Pleuronectiformes; Scophthalmidae. The record is from RefSeq and is a predicted model, not a curated record. The transcript has 2 exons.
GUAGGUCACUGAUCACCGGUGUUACUGUGUUACAGUAGAAAAUCUGUUCAGAAAUGUCAUUCCAGUUGUGGAUGAAAGUUCUCCAUAUCAAAACAACAGGGUCAAAGGGCAUGAUAUAACUCAAGUGUAAAAGAAAACUGAAUUAAAUUGGCAGUGAAAUUAUCAACCCAAGAAGGGAAGAUUAGGAGAAAAUCUCAUUGAGCAGCUUUGGUGAAAACACACUACAGUGUAAUGACAACCCAGACCCUCCCAGAUGCAAGAUGUUCUGGGCCAGGCUCUGCUCUCAGAUGGAUAUGGGGAAGAAGAAGAAGAAGAAGAAGAACGGCAGCAAUUAGCCUGGCGUAGGCAGCAAUAUGGAGAGAUUUGAAGAAAAAAAAAUGCUUGAUUCUGGAGAGUAAAUGGAUGCAGGUGCAGGCUUGUUUUGCGUGCACACCAAUCCGACAUUGCAACUGAAACCCACAGGCCGUUUAAGUUAACCAUUAAUAUUUGUUUGGCCGUGCUGUUUCUGCUUCAUUUCAGCCCACACCUGCGUUUGCCUCUGCAGAGUUGUUGCGAUGACAAUCAAUCUCUGUACACUCCAGAAAACCACCAUGGUCUUAUAGCAAGUGUUCUGCUCUCCUUUGACUGCAGACAGAGACAGUCAGCCCUAACCUGCCGCAAACAUCGGUGGUCAGAUGCAGUUUGAAAAACAUUUGUUUUGUGCGAAUAUGAUUAAUAUUGAUGCUGUUAAAGCAGGCGUCUGCGACCGAACUUGCCCUGCAUAAUGCAUAAUGCACUUAUGAUGCCAUAUUUACAGUCUGCUACAUAUGAGAUGCACCAUAGCUUCCGCUUAAGAUGGAGCACCACACGUUGUGUAAAUUAGGUGUGAAUGCUGCUAUGCAGAAUCUGUGCAAUUUGCCAUACAGUCUAGCAGUCAUACUGCCCCCAUGUGACAACUAUUGUCCAAAAAAAAAAAUUAUAUUCAGAGGAGAAUGGGAGGAGAAAGUUUGUACUUUUUGGCAGAAUGUGUUGUUUUCUCUGUCAGUGUGGACUGAUUGAUGCACAUUAGAGUUAUUGUUUAUGGAUUUCAACAGUUUCACCGACAUAAAUCAGCGUAGAUGUGGGGCAGAAACACGGUUAGAGGCCGUAGGUUUACAGUGAGAGGAUAUUUGUGUGGAUUUUUCAUGUUCUUCUUACAUUUGAGCUAUAUUGGUUUCUCCAAUGCAAUCACAGCUGUUAGACACGUGAAACAAAGUACAUUUUGUCCAUGAAUGAGGACGAUUUCCCGACUCUAGUUAAUAACUGAGUUUUUCUCCCCAUUUCUCCAAAUGCUUGCAUGGAAAACUACCAGUGCUUUCUUCUCUUUAUGAUUUGGGGAAACAGUGUUCUGAAUUAAAAUAUGUAUUCUGUGGCGUUUGUUUGAUGGACCAUCGUGAUAUCUGUAAUAUCUGUAACAUCGAACCAGUUCUCUUGCUAAAUAAAGUAAGUCAUAACUCGU